This is a small nucleolar RNA of Pseudophryne corroboree (corroboree frog), 74 nucleotides long. The record is from RefSeq and is a predicted model, not a curated record. NCBI's taxonomy places the organism in Eukaryota, Metazoa, Chordata, Amphibia, Anura, Myobatrachidae.
CUUGUCAGUGAUGAUCCUUGUGUUUGAGUUUCACGACUAUGAAACCAGUCACAUGCACUACCAUCUGAGACGGC